UGCAGUCGAGCGGUAACAGAAAGUAGCUUGCUACUUUGCUGACGAGCGGCGGACGGGUGAGUAAUGCUUGGGAACAUGCCUUGAGGUGGGGGACAACAGUUGGAAACGACUGCUAAUACCGCAUAAUGUCUACGGACCAAAGGGGGCUUCGGCUCUCGCCUUUAGAUUGGCCCAAGUGGGAUUAGCUAGUUGGUGAGGUAAUGGCUCACCAAGGCGACGAUCCCUAGCUGGUUUGAGAGGAUGAUCAGCCACACUGGGACUGAGACACGGCCCAGACUCCUACGGGAGGCAGCAGUGGGGAAUAUUGCACAAUGGGCGCAAGCCUGAUGCAGCCAUGCCGCGUGUGUGAAGAAGGCCUUCGGGUUGUAAAGCACUUUCAGUCAGGAGGAAAGGUUAGUAGUUAAUACCUGCUAGCUGUGACGUUACUGACAGAAGAAGCACCGGCUAACUCCGUGCCAGCAGCCGCGGUAAUACGGAGGGUGCGAGCGUUAAUCGGAAUUACUGGGCGUAAAGCGUACGCAGGCGGUUUGUUAAGCGAGAUGUGAAAGCCCCGGGCUCAACCUGGGAACUGCAUUUCGAACUGGCAAACUAGAGUGUGAUAGAGGGUGGUAGAAUUUCAGGUGUAGCGGUGAAAUGCGUAGAGAUCUGAAGGAAUACCGAUGGCGAAGGCAGCCACCUGGGUCAACACUGACGCUCAUGUACGAAAGCGUGGGGAGCAAACAGGAUUAGAUACCCUGGUAGUCCACGCCGUAAACGAUGUCUACUAGAAGCUCGGAGCCUCGGCUCUGUUUUUCAAAGCUAACGCAUUAAGUAGACCGCCUGGGGAGUACGGCCGCAAGGUUAAAACUCAAAUGAAUUGACGGGGGCCCGCACAAGCGGUGGAGCAUGUGGUUUAAUUCGAUGCAACGCGAAGAACCUUACCUACACUUGACAUACAGAGAACUUACCAGAGAUGGUUUGGUGCCUUCGGGAACUCUGAUACAGGUGCUGCAUGGCUGUCGUCAGCUCGUGUUGUGAGAUGUUGGGUUAAGUCCCCGCAACGAGCGCAACCCCUAUCCUUAGUUGCUAGCAGGUAAUGC
RNAcentral lists this ribosomal RNA (1079 nucleotides) under Pseudoalteromonas distincta. RNAcentral describes it as "bacterial SSU rRNA". It matches the Rfam family "Bacterial small subunit ribosomal RNA", at positions 56 to 1131 of the family's 1533-position model. Lineage: Bacteria; Pseudomonadati; Pseudomonadota; Gammaproteobacteria; Alteromonadales; Pseudoalteromonadaceae. The record is from RNAcentral.